RNAcentral lists this long non-coding RNA (581 nucleotides) under Homo sapiens (human). Its description in RNAcentral is "non-protein coding lnc-KMT2E-8:2". The record is from RNAcentral. Lineage: Eukaryota; Metazoa; Chordata; Mammalia; Primates; Hominidae.
CCUUGAACCCAUUCUAUUUUCUUGGAUUCUAAAUCCUCACCUUUGGUCUUAAUUUUAGUCCUCUAUGGUAACCAUGGUUUCAGAAUCCUUCUUUCAAUUACUAUCAGCAGUUGCAUAAAGGAGAUGUUGGCUUUAGUCUCUUAAGCCCCAUCUGAAAUUUCUGCAGUGGUUUGGGAGCAACUCACUUUUAAAGUGAACUUCAGAUCCUGCUUUCAAAGGCACACAGUGGCUGUCAGAGCUGAGCAGUUUCAUUUUCAGGCCACUCAACGUGGCAAAGAGCUCAGGUCUAAACAGCCUUUGCCCAGGUGUGGAACCAUCUCACCUUGCCUGACUUAACUCCUCCCUGCUGGCCUCCUAGCCUCGGGCUGCUUUAACUCCAUUGUAUUUGUCAAGAAAAUGCAUUUUCCAAGCCUGCCUCAUGAACCUUGUGUCUUCUGGGUUUCCAUAAUCCUCUGGGUUAAGCACACACUUCUGACUGUGACCACCUUAACUUCUGAACUGCUAGCUCUUCCAGUCAUUCUGGGGCUCCCCUGCAAACCUUCUUUGCUUCUCCCCCUCUUUCCACCCAGGCAAAUUCUUCA